This 336-nucleotide unclassified non-coding RNA is filed under the name soil metagenome. RNAcentral describes it as "partial contains 5.8S ribosomal RNA, internal transcribed spacer 2, and large subunit ribosomal RNA". The stretch from base 1 to 120 matches the Rfam family "5.8S ribosomal RNA", at positions 35 to 154 of the family's 154-position model. The record is from RNAcentral.
GAUGAAGAACGUAGUGAAAUGCGAUAAGUAAUGUGAAUUGCAGAAUUCCGUGAAUCAUCGAAUCUUUGAACGCACAUUGCGCCCCCUGGUAUUCCGGGGGGCAUGCCUGUCCGAGCGUCAUUGCAACCUUCAAGCGCGGCUUGUGUGUUGGGUCUCGUCCCCCGUGGACGGGCCCGAAAGGCAGUGGCGGCGUCCCGACAUGGUGCCCGAGCGUAUGGGAAUCCUCUUCCGCUCGAAUCGGCCCAUGCGGCGCUGGUCGUAACCAAAGUUUUUACCGGUUGACCUCGGAUCAGGUAGGGAUACCCGCUGAACUUAAGCAUAUCAAUAAGCGGAGGA